RNAcentral lists this ribosomal RNA (555 nucleotides) under Pseudomonas sp. GL1CO. Its description in RNAcentral is "bacterial SSU rRNA". It matches the Rfam family "Bacterial small subunit ribosomal RNA", at positions 35 to 586 of the family's 1533-position model. Lineage: Bacteria; Pseudomonadati; Pseudomonadota; Gammaproteobacteria; Pseudomonadales; Pseudomonadaceae. The record is from RNAcentral.
GCUGGCGGCAGGCCUACACAUGCAAGUCGAGCGGAUGAAGGGAGCUUGCUCCUGGAUUCAGCGGCGGACGGGUGAGUAAUGCCUAGGAAUCUGCCUGGUAGUGGGGGAUAACGUCCGGAAACGGGCGCUAAUACCGCAUACGUCCUGAGGGAGAAAGUGGGGGAUCUUCGGACCUCACGCUAUCAGAUGAGCCUAGGUCGGAUUAGCUAGUUGGUGGGGUAAAGGCCUACCAAGGCGACGAUCCGUAACUGGUCUGAGAGGAUGAUCAGUCACACUGGAACUGAGACACGGUCCAGACUCCUACGGGAGGCAGCAGUGGGGAAUAUUGGACAAUGGGCGAAAGCCUGAUCCAGCCAUGCCGCGUGUGUGAAGAAGGUCUUCGGAUUGUAAAGCACUUUAAGUUGGGAGGAAGGGCAGUAAGUUAAUACCUUGCUGUUUUGACGUUACCAACAGAAUAAGCACCGGCUAACUUCGUGCCAGCAGCCGCGGUAAUACGAAGGGUGCAAGCGUUAAUCGGAAUUACUGGGCGUAAAGCGCGCGUAGGUGGUUCAGCAA